This 122-nucleotide ribosomal RNA is filed under the name Periophthalmus magnuspinnatus. Lineage: Eukaryota; Metazoa; Chordata; Actinopteri; Gobiiformes; Gobiidae. The record is from RNAcentral.
UGUCAUGGCCGCAUCAGCUUGUCAAAGUCCGAUCUCGUCAGAUCAGAAGCUAAGUGAGGCUGAGCCUGGUUAGUACUUGGAUGGGAGAUCACUGGGAAAAUCAUUCAAAAUCACCAUUAAAA